This 310-nucleotide ribosomal RNA is filed under the name uncultured bacterium. Its description in RNAcentral is "bacterial SSU rRNA". It matches the Rfam family "Bacterial small subunit ribosomal RNA", at positions 28 to 335 of the family's 1533-position model. The record is from RNAcentral.
GUUGAACGCUGGCGGCAGGCCUAACACAUGCAAGUCGAACGGUAACAGGAAGAAGCUUGCUUCUUUGCUGACGAGUGGCGGACGGGUGAGUAAUGUCUGGAAACUGCCUGAUGGAGGGGGAUAACUACUGGAAACGGUAGCUAAUACCGCAUAACGUCGCAAGACCAAAGAGGGGGACCUUCGGGCCUCUUGCCAUCGGAUGUGCCCAGAUGGGAUUAGCUAGUAGGUGGGGUAACGGCUCACCUAGGCGACGAUCCCUAGCUGGUCUGAGAGGAUGACCAGCCACACUGGAACUGAGACACGGUCCAGA